AUAGCGUAUAUUAAAGUUGUUGCGGUUAAAAAGCUCGUAGUUGAAUCUGUGUCCCACGCUGUCGGUUCAUCGCUCGCGGUGUUUAACUGGCAUGACUGUGGGACGUCCUACCGGUGGGCUUAGCUCCUCACGGGGGGCGGCCCAACUAAUAUCCCAUCGCGGUGCUCUUUACCGAGUGUCGAGGUGGGCCGGUACGUUUACUUUGAACAAAUUAGAGUGCUUAAAGCAGGCUACCUUCGCCUGAAUACUGCGUGCAUGGAAUAAUGGAAUAGGACCUCGGUUCUAUUUUGUUGGUUUUCGGAACCCCGAGGUAAUGAUUAAUAGGGACAGAUGGGGGCAUUCGUAUUGCGACGUUAGAGGUGAAAUUCUUGGAUCGUCGCAAGACGGACAGAAGCGAAAGCAUUUGCCAAAAAUGUUUUCAUUAAUCAAGAACGAAAGUUAGAGGUUCGAAGGCGAUCAGAUACCGCCCUAGUUCUAACCAUAAACGAUGCCAGCUAGCGAUCCGCCGAAGUUCCUCCGAUGACUCGGCGGGCAGCUUCCGGGAAACCAAAGCUUUUGGGUUCCGGGGGAAGUAUGGUUGCAAAGCUGAAACUUAAAGGAAUUGACGGAAGGGCACCACCAGGAGUGGAGCCUGCGGCUUAAUUUGACUCAACACGGGAAACCUCACCAGGCCCGGACACCGGAAGGAUUGACAGAUUGAUAGCUCUUUCUUGAUUCGGUGGGUGGUGGUGCAUGGCCGUUCUUAGUUGGUGGAGCGAUUUGUCUGGUUAAUUCCGAUAACGAACGAGACUCUAGCCUGCUAAAUAGGCGUACUUUAUGGUAUCUCGAAGGCCCUCGGCUUCGGUCGGGCGGUUUUUACUACCGACGUACAAACAAAUCUUCUUAGAGGGAC
RNAcentral lists this ribosomal RNA (892 nucleotides) under Hartigia trimaculata. RNAcentral describes it as "SSU rRNA". It matches the Rfam family "Eukaryotic small subunit ribosomal RNA", at positions 594 to 1420 of the family's 1831-position model. Lineage: Eukaryota; Metazoa; Arthropoda; Insecta; Hymenoptera; Cephidae. The record is from RNAcentral.